UUUAAGGACAAACUACAUCAUCCGUUUUCAUAGUUCGCUAAUUUUUCUUUUAGCUGGUUUAGUUCAACAAAAAUGGAAGAACCUCGGGAAGAGGUUAACGUCAGAAACUUUUGCAGAAACUGGAGGAACUGCUGCAACUAUGUUUUCCAGAACAUAUUUAUGUUUGCGAGUUUGGCGGCUGUUGUUCUCGGUGGUGGGCCCCCACGAGGACUUAUGUGGCUAAUUCCGGCUGAACCUGAUUGGGUCCCAUUGGUUCCCCUUCACCAUGUCCUCUAAUGGAGCGCCUGAUUACCGCCACAGAAGAGGCAACAAUCUGGCAGAAAAGACUGAAAAACCUGCCAAUGGGUGGGCAAACUGAAAGGCUGCCCCACUUCUCUACCUGAGAGGCGACAGAGAGCAAGAAAGAGAAAAAAAAGAGGAAAACAAGCCCAAACACGAAUUAUAUUUAGAAGAAAUGGACUUGCUGUUGGCUUGAUCAUCAGGAGUGUUGACACUCUUACAGAGGUAGAAAAAAACUACCUUGGCUUUC
Oreochromis aureus is the source of this 529-nucleotide long non-coding RNA. The record is from Ensembl. Lineage: Eukaryota; Metazoa; Chordata; Actinopteri; Cichliformes; Cichlidae.